GAUGAACGCUGGCGGCGUGCCUAAUACAUGCAAGUCGAGCGAACAGAUGAGGAGCUUGCUCCUCUGACGUUAGCGGCGGACGGGUGAGUAACACGUGGAUAACCUACCUAUAAGACUGGGAUAACUUCGGGAAACCGGAGCUAAUACCGGAUAAUAUAUUGAACCGCAUGUUUCAAUAGUGAAAGACGGUUUUGCUGUCACUUAUAGAUGGAUCCGCGCCGCAUUAGCUAGUUGGUAAGGUAACGGCUUACCAAGGCACCGAUGCGUAGCCGACCUGAGAGGGUGAUCGGCCACACUGGAACUGAGACACGGUCCAGACUCCUACGGGAGGCAGCAGUAGGGAAUCUUCCGCAAUGGGCGAAAGCCUGACGGAGCAACGCCGCGUGAGUGAUGAAGGUCUUCGGAUCGUAAAACUCUGUUAUUAGGGAAGAACAAAUGUGUAAGUAACUAUGCACGUCUUGACGGUACCUAAUCAGAAAGCCACGGCUAACUACGUG
RNAcentral lists this ribosomal RNA (497 nucleotides) under uncultured bacterium. RNAcentral's name for it is "partial 16S ribosomal RNA". It matches the Rfam family "Bacterial small subunit ribosomal RNA", at positions 28 to 507 of the family's 1533-position model. The record is from RNAcentral.